This 336-nucleotide unclassified non-coding RNA is filed under the name soil metagenome. Its description in RNAcentral is "partial contains 5.8S ribosomal RNA, internal transcribed spacer 2, and large subunit ribosomal RNA". The stretch from base 1 to 120 matches the Rfam family "5.8S ribosomal RNA", at positions 35 to 154 of the family's 154-position model. The record is from RNAcentral.
GAUGAAGAACAUAGCGAAAUGCGAUAAGUAAUGUGAAUUGCAGAAUUCAGUGAAUCAUCGAAUCUUUGAGCGCACAUUGCGCCCGCCAGUAUUCUGGCGGGCAUGCCUGUUCGAGCGUCAUUUCAACCAUCAAGCCCCCGGCUUGUGUUGGGGACCUGCGGCUGCCGCAGGCCCUGAAAAGCAGUGGCGGGCUCGCUGUCACACCGAGCGUAGUAGCAUACAUCUCGCUCUGGGCGUGCUGCGGGUUCCGGCCGUUAAACCACCUUCAUAACCCAAGGUUGACCUCGGAUCAGGUAGGAAGACCCGCUGAACUUAAGCAUAUCAAUAAGCGGAGGA